This 864-nucleotide ribosomal RNA is filed under the name uncultured Methanocella sp. RNAcentral's name for it is "bacterial SSU rRNA". It matches the Rfam family "Archaeal small subunit ribosomal RNA", at positions 1 to 872 of the family's 1478-position model. The record is from RNAcentral. Lineage: Archaea; Methanobacteriati; Methanobacteriota; Methanomicrobia; Methanocellales; Methanocellaceae.
UUCUGGUUGAUCCCGCCAGAGGUCACUGCUAUCGGUGUCCGAUUAAGCCAUGCGAGUCGAGAGGUGUAAGACCUCGGCAGACUGCUCAGUAACACGUGGAUAACCUGCCCAAGGGUCCGGGAUAACCCCGGGAAACUGGGGAUAAUACCGGAUGGGUCACCAGUGCUGGAAUGCUUGGUGGUCGAAAGGUGACGCCUUUGGAUGGGUCUGCGGCGGAUUAGGUUGACGCCGGUGUAACGUACCGGCGUGCCUGUAAUCCGUACGGGUUGUGGGAGCAAGAGCCCGGAGAUGGAUUCUGAGACACGAAUCCAGGCCCUACGGGGCGCAGCAGGCGCGAAAACUCUACAAUGCAGGCAACUGCGAUAGGGGGACAUCGAGUGGCAUCCACCUUGGGUGUCUGUCCAACCGUCUAAAAAACGGUUGUUAGCAAGGGCCGGGCAAGACCGGUGCCAGCCGCCGCGGUAAUACCGGCGGCUCGAGUGGUGGCCGAUAUUAUUGAGUCUAAAGGGUCCGUAGCCGGCUUUGCAAGUCCCCUGGGAAAUCCGGCGGCUUAACCGUUGGGCUUUCAUGGGAUACUACAUUGCUUGGGACUGGGAGAGGUAGGAGGUACUCGGGGGGUAGGGGUGAAAUCCUGUAAUCCUCCGGGGACCACCGGUGGCGAAGGCGUCCUACCAGAACAGGUCCGACGGUGAGGGACGAAAGCUAGGGGCACGAACCGGAUUAGAUACCCGGGUAGUCCUAGCCGUAAACGAUGCCCGCUAGGUGUCACGACGGUCGUGAAUCGUCGUGGUGCCGUAGGGAAGCCGCGAAGCGGGCCACUUGGGAAGUACGGCCGCAAGGCUGAAACUUAAAGGAAUUGGCGGG